GGGGAUAUAGCUCAGUUGGUAGAGUGUUUGUACAAGGUACAAGGGCCCUGGGUUCAAUUUCCAGCACCACCU
This 72-nucleotide transfer RNA is filed under the name Ictidomys tridecemlineatus (thirteen-lined ground squirrel). RNAcentral describes it as "Spermophilus tridecemlineatus (thirteen-lined ground squirrel) tRNA". It matches the Rfam family "tRNA". From Rfam's summary of the family: Transfer RNA (tRNA) molecules are approximately 80 nucleotides in length. Their secondary structure includes four short double-helical elements and three loops (D, anti-codon, and T loops). Lineage: Eukaryota; Metazoa; Chordata; Mammalia; Rodentia; Sciuridae. The record is from Rfam by way of RNAcentral.